RNAcentral lists this ribosomal RNA (492 nucleotides) under uncultured bacterium. RNAcentral describes it as "partial 16S ribosomal RNA". It matches the Rfam family "Bacterial small subunit ribosomal RNA", at positions 28 to 507 of the family's 1533-position model. The record is from RNAcentral.
GAUGAACGCUAGCUACAGGCUUAACACAUGCAAGUCGAGGGGAAACGGCAUUGAGUGCUUGCACUCUUUGGACGUCGACCGGCGCACGGGUGAGUAACGUGUAUCCAACCUUCCCAUUACUGUGGGAUAACCUGCCGAAAGGCAGACUAAUACCGCAUAGUCUUCGAUGACGGCAUCAGAUUUGAAGUAAAGAUUUAUCGGUAAUGGAUGGGGAUGCGUCUGAUUAGCUUGUUGGCGGGGUAACGGCCCACCAAGGCUACGAUCAGUAGGGGUUCUGAGAGGAAGGUCCCCCACAUUGGAACUGAGACACGGUCCAAACUCCUACGGGAGGCAGCAGUGAGGAAUAUUGGGCAAUGGACGGAAGUCUGAACCAGCCAAGUAGCGUGCAGGAUGACGGCCCUAUGGGUUGUAAACUGCUUUUGUAUGGGGAUAAAGUUAGGGACGGGUCCCUAUUUGCAGGUACCAUACGAAUAAGGACCGGCUAAUUCCGUG